GGCUCAGGACGAACGCUGGCGGCGUGCCUAAUACAUGCAAGUCGAGCGGACAGAUGGGAGCUUGCUCCCUGAUGUUAGCGGCGGACGGGUGAGUAACACGUGGGUAACCUGCCUGUAAGACUGGGAUAACUCCGGGAAACCGGGGCUAAUACCGGAUGGUUGUUUGAACCGCAUGGUUCAAACAUAAAAGGUGGCUUCGGCUACCACUUACAGAUGGACCCGCGGCGCAUUAGCUAGUUGGUGAGGUAACGGCUCACCAAGGCAACGAUGCGUAGCCGACCUGAGAGGGUGAUCGGCCACACUGGGACUGAGACACGGCCCAGACUCCUACGGGAGGCAGCAGUAGGGAAUCUUCCGCAAUGGACGAAAGUCUGACGGAGCAACGCCGCGUGAGUGAUGAAGGUUUUCGGAUCGUAAAGCUCUGUUGUUAGGGAAGAACAAGUACCGUUCGAAUAGGGCGGUACCUUGACGGUACCUAACCAGAAAGCCACGGCUAACUACGUGCCAGCAGCCGCGGUAAUACGUAGGUGGCAAGCGUUGUCCGGAAUUAUUGGGCGUAAAGGGCUCGCAGGCGGUUUCUUAAGUCUGAUGUGAAAGCCCCCGGCUCAACCGGGGAGGGUCAUUGGAAACUGGGGAACUUGAGUGCAGAAGAGGAGAGUGGAAUUCCACGUGUAGCGGUGAAAUGCGUAGAGAUGUGGAGGAACACCAGUGGCGAAGGCGACUCUCUGGUCUGUAACUGACGCUGAGGAGCGAAAGCGUGGGGAGCGAACAGGAUUAGAUACCCUGGUAGUCCACGCCGUAAACGAUGAGUGCUAAGUGUUAGGGGGUUUCCGCCCCUUAGUGCUGCAGCUAACGCAUAAGC
This 862-nucleotide ribosomal RNA is filed under the name Bacillus subtilis. RNAcentral describes it as "bacterial SSU rRNA". It matches the Rfam family "Bacterial small subunit ribosomal RNA", at positions 21 to 865 of the family's 1533-position model. The record is from RNAcentral. Lineage: Bacteria; Bacillati; Bacillota; Bacilli; Caryophanales; Bacillaceae.